UUUUUAUGGCAGCCCUAACAGAUUAAUUCACGCAGCCUGUGAACACAGAGAGAUGGGCUCCUUGUAUGAUGAGGACAUCAUUUUGGGCCUGGUUUCCUUCACACAUUCUCCUAAAUGUAGACAUUACCAAGUUGAAAAUUUAAGUAAAGCCUCAAGUUUGCUCAGCUGUUGUCUCAGGGGAAGCAGAUCCCCUCAACCCAC
RNAcentral lists this long non-coding RNA (201 nucleotides) under Homo sapiens (human). RNAcentral's name for it is "HSALNT0319918". Lineage: Eukaryota; Metazoa; Chordata; Mammalia; Primates; Hominidae. The record is from RNAcentral.